UAUAACUAAGAUUUGCAAUCUGGUGCCUUCGGCGUCCGAGUUGUAAUUUGAAGAAGGUAUCUUUGGUUUUGGCUCUUGUCUAUGUUCCUUGGAACAGGACGUCACAGAGGGUGAGAAUCCCGUGCGAUGAGAUGCCCAAUUCCAUGUAAAGUUCCUUCGACGAGUCGAGUUGUUUGGGAAUGCAGCUCUAAGUGGGUGGUAAAUUCCAUCUAAAGCUAAAUAUUGGCGAGAGACCGAUAGCGAACAAGUACUGUGAAGGAAAGAUGAAAAGAACUUUGAAAAGAGAGUGAAAAAGUACGUGAAAUUGUUGAAAGGGAAGGGCUUGAGGUCAGACUUGGUUUUACCAGGCCAGCAUCAGUUUGGGUGGCAGGAUAAGUGCGUAGGAAAGUGGCUCCACCUCGGUGGAGUGUUAUAGCCUGCGUCGAUACUGCCUGCCUAGACUGAGGACUGCGUCUUUGACUAGGAUGCUGGCAUAAUGACCUUAAGCC
RNAcentral lists this ribosomal RNA (488 nucleotides) under Yamadazyma scolyti. RNAcentral's name for it is "eukaryotic LSU rRNA". It matches the Rfam family "Eukaryotic large subunit ribosomal RNA", at positions 103 to 646 of the family's 3401-position model. Lineage: Eukaryota; Fungi; Ascomycota; Pichiomycetes; Serinales; Debaryomycetaceae. The record is from RNAcentral.